Nomascus leucogenys (northern white-cheeked gibbon) is the source of this 90-nucleotide microRNA precursor. The record is from Ensembl. NCBI's taxonomy places the organism in Eukaryota, Metazoa, Chordata, Mammalia, Primates, Hylobatidae.
AGGCGUGGUGGCGGGCGCCUGUGAUCCCAGCUACUCAGGAGGCUGAGGCAGGAUAAUCGCUUGAACCCGGGAGGCAGAAGCUGCAGUGAG